Molecule: RNase P RNA, 452 nt
Filed under: Burkholderiales bacterium
Lineage: Bacteria; Pseudomonadati; Pseudomonadota; Betaproteobacteria; Burkholderiales
Description: RNase P RNA component class A
Rfam family: Bacterial RNase P class A
About the family: Ribonuclease P (RNase P) is a ubiquitous endoribonuclease, found in archaea, bacteria and eukarya as well as chloroplasts and mitochondria. Its best characterised activity is the generation of mature 5'-ends of tRNAs by cleaving the 5'-leader elements of precursor-tRNAs.
Source: RNAcentral
GAAGUAGGCCAGACCGCCGCCGGUGCGAGCGUGGAAACACGGCACGGGAGGAAGGUCCGGACUGCACAGGGCAGCGUAGCAGCUAAUGGCUGUCCACCGCGAGGUGAGGAUCAGAGCCACAGAGACGAGUCUUUGUGGGGUUCCCAAUGAGGGUGUUCUGUCACGCGCCGGCGUCAGCCGGUGCCCGGUGCGGCUUGUCCGCGCCGGGUCGGGCUGCCAAGCCCGAACGUGACAGCCACCCUUUGCGGGGCAAGAGCCCCGCAAAGGGUGAAACGCGGCAAUCUCUACGCGCAGCAAUACCAAGUAGGCACACGACGACCUGGCCCGGGGAGUGUGCGGGUAGGUAGCACCGAGCCGGGCGAGCGAUCCCCGGCCCAGAGGAAUGGCGGUCACGACCGGCCUUCGCAAGAAGGGCGGGCGCACAGAAUCCGGCCUAUCGGUCUGCUUCACAC